This 678-nucleotide ribosomal RNA is filed under the name uncultured rumen bacterium. Its description in RNAcentral is "bacterial SSU rRNA". It matches the Rfam family "Bacterial small subunit ribosomal RNA", at positions 74 to 749 of the family's 1533-position model. The record is from RNAcentral.
UUGUAGCAAUACAAUGCCGGCGACCGGCGAAAGGGUGAGUAACGCGUGAGCAACAUGCCCGAUACUGGAGGAUAGUCGAUGGAAACGUCGCGUAAUACUCCGUAACAACAGAGACCGCAUGGUUUUUGUUUAAUAGAUUUAUCGGUAUCGGAUUGGCUCGCGUCCCAUUAGGCAGUUGGCGGGGUAACGGCCCACCAAACCGACGAUGGGUAGGGGUUCUGAGAGGAAGGUCCCCCACAUUGGAACUGAGACACGGUCCAGACUCCUACGGGAGGCAGCAGUGAGGAAUAUUGGUCAAUGGCCGAGAGGCUGAACCAGCCAUGCCGCGUGCGGGAGGACGGCCCUAUGGGUUGUAAACCGCUUUUGUUGGGGAGCAAUAAGGAGCACGUGUGCUUCGAUGAGAGUACCCAGCGAAUAAGCAUCGGCUAACUCCGUGCCAGCAGCCGCGGUAAUACGGAGGAUGCAAGCGUUAUCCGGAUUUAUUGGGUUUAAAGGGUGCGUAGGCGGACGAUUAAGCGUGAGGUGAAAUGCCCGGGCUCAACCUGGGAACUGCCUCGCGAACUGGUCGUCUGGAAUGCUCCUGCCGUGGGAGGAAUGUGUGGUGUAGCGGUGAAAUGCAUAGAGAUCACACAGAACACCGAUUGCGAAGGCAUCUCACGAAGGGGUAAUUGACGCUGA